GACGAACGCUGGCGGCGCGCCUAACACAUGCAAGUCGAACGAGAGAGGAAGAGCUUGCUUUUCCGAUCGAGUGGCGAACGGGUGAGUAACGCGUGAGGAACCUGCCUCAAAGAGGGGGACAACAGUUGGAAACGACUGCUAAUACCGCAUAAGCCCACGGCUCGGCAUCGAGCAGAGGGAAAAGGAGCAAUCCGCUUUGAGAUGGCCUCGCGUCCGAUUAGCUAGUUGGUGAGGUAACGGCCCACCAAGGCGACGAUCGGUAGCCGGACUGAGAGGUUGAACGGCCACAUUGGGACUGAGACACGGCCCAGACUCCUACGGGAGGCAGCAGUGGGGAAUAUUGCACAAUGGGGGAAACCCUGAUGCAGCGACGCCGCGUGGAGGAAGAAGGUCUUCGGAUUGUAAACUCCUGU
This 413-nucleotide ribosomal RNA is filed under the name uncultured bacterium. Its description in RNAcentral is "bacterial SSU rRNA". It matches the Rfam family "Bacterial small subunit ribosomal RNA", at positions 28 to 436 of the family's 1533-position model. The record is from RNAcentral.